This 253-nucleotide ribosomal RNA is filed under the name uncultured bacterium. Its description in RNAcentral is "partial 16S ribosomal RNA". It matches the Rfam family "Bacterial small subunit ribosomal RNA", at positions 524 to 776 of the family's 1533-position model. The record is from RNAcentral.
GACGAACCGUGCAAACGUUAUUCGGAAUCACUGGGCUUAAAGGGCGCGUAGGUGGUUGAUCAAGUCUGGGGUGAAAUCUUUCGGCUUAACCGGAAAAGUGCCUUGGAUACUGAUCAGCUGGAGGGAGGUAGGGGCAGUUGGAACUUCCAGUGGAGCGGUGAAAUGCGUUGAUAUUGGAAGGAACGCCGGUGGCGAAAGCGAACUGCUGGACCUUUUCUGACACUGAGGCGCGAAAGCUAGGGGAGCAAACGGG